AAAUCAUCAAUCUUACUGAUAUUGUCAGUGAUGAUUGGAUUGUGGGGGUUUGCGGGCUCGUAACAGAGUCGGCUCUCCUUAGUAAUGUUAGUGAGGCCUUUUGUUGACUGUCACUGGUGUGAUAAUUAUCUACGCCAUUGAAUGGACUUCAUUUGUUGGACUCGCUCAUAACUGUCUGGUUUACAGACUAUUUGACCAAU
Molecule: unclassified non-coding RNA, 200 nt
Filed under: uncultured Gerhardtia
Lineage: Eukaryota; Fungi; Basidiomycota; Agaricomycetes; Agaricales; Lyophyllaceae
Description: sequence contains ITS2
Source: RNAcentral